GCCGGGAUCUCCUAGCCUGGUAGGGAGCUAACACCUAUGGGUGGCUCAUGCCUGGAAAGCUAGUGUCCGUAUGGACGCAAGGGUUCAAAUCCCUUUCCCGGCGCCA
This 106-nucleotide transfer RNA is filed under the name Candidatus Bathyarchaeota archaeon. RNAcentral's name for it is "tRNA-OTHER". It matches the Rfam family "tRNA". From Rfam's summary of the family: Transfer RNA (tRNA) molecules are approximately 80 nucleotides in length. Their secondary structure includes four short double-helical elements and three loops (D, anti-codon, and T loops). Lineage: Archaea; Thermoproteati; Candidatus Bathyarchaeota. The record is from RNAcentral.